Molecule: ribosomal RNA, 305 nt
Filed under: uncultured bacterium
Lineage: Bacteria
Description: partial 16S ribosomal RNA
Rfam family: Bacterial small subunit ribosomal RNA
Source: RNAcentral
UCCUACGGGGGGCAGCAGUGGGGAAUAUUGCACAAUGGGGGGAACCCUGAUGCAGCGACGCCGCGUGAGUGAAGAAGUAUUUCGGUAUGUAAAGCUCUAUCAGCAGGGAAGAAAAUGACGGUACCUGACUAAGAAGCCCCGGCUAACUACGUGCCAGCAGCCGCGGUAAUACGUAGGGGGCAAGCGUUAUCCGGAUUUACUGGGUGUAAAGGGGGCGUAGACGGUGAUGCAAGUCUGGAGUGAAAGGCGGGGGCCCAACCCCCGGACUGCUCUGGAAACUGUAUGACUUGAGUGCAGGAGAGGUA